This is an RNA transcript of Pseudomyrmex gracilis, 1488 nucleotides long. It is a transcript of the gene named elongator complex protein 5, with no coding region annotated. Lineage: Eukaryota; Metazoa; Arthropoda; Insecta; Hymenoptera; Formicidae. The record is from RefSeq and is a predicted model, not a curated record. The transcript has 5 exons.
UGUUAUCACGUAUAUGUGAUUUUGUUGGUGUUGACAUAUCUCGUAGGUCCAAGAGCCACAAGCGCACCGAACCAAACCGUUGACAUAUCUUUUUUUUAUCUGAUAUAUUUGAUUUCUUUUUUUUUUGGUCAUUACAAACGGGUGGAUGAAACGGAUUAACGAUUACUGAUAAAAGUUUCUACUGUGAAUGGCGUAUGAGUAUUAAUGGCCUCCUAGCCGUUACAAAACCGAACCGAAUCGGUACACAAGGAAGUUCGAUAAGCUGAUAGCAACGUGAAUGUUCAAGCAUCUGUAUCGCGCUUGCUCGUGAUUGUUUUUAUAUUGUAACUAUAUAAUUGUAGUAUCUUAUAGUUUUACGAAGUUACGUACGAUACGUACGUGUGUAAGUUUUGAAAUGGCAUACAUGAAUACGUUGCCCGUGUUAGAAGGAGCGAGAGUAAUUGUUAUAGAUGAAGGAUUAGAUGCAAUGUACGCGAGAACACUGAUAGUCGGAUGGUUGCGCAUGUGGCAGGAAAAAAAUCCAAAUCACAGUGUUGACUUGUUAUCAUUUUCUGACCCGCAACUUUGGGACGUGGAAUCGGAGCUGUUUACAUCUAAGAAUGUUUGCUUACACAAUUAUUACAGUCUUGACGUCAAUACAAUUGUAAACAAAGAUGCGGAGAAUCUUCAGUACAUACUGAAGACUAUCAAAUUAAAGCCACAAAAUACAGUCAUUGUUGACUGUUUGAGCUCCCUGGUACUGUACAACGGUCUGGCAAAGGCUCUGUGGUUUGUAGAGAAAUUGCAUAGACAAGUAUCUCAAAUGAUUUGCAUCUAUCGGCGAGAUUUUAUCCAGAAUAAGGUUGUUGCCAUUGAAACUUUGGGUACAACUUACGUCAAGUUAGAGAAAUUUCCUGGUAUCAAACCUUCGAGAAACAAUUUAAUGUACAUUGCACAUCUGACUCAUAGAAAAUCAGUUGGUUCAAUAAUAUGUCAGACAGAAGUAAUACAUCAAGAUAGCACAUCGUACGAGAUCUGCACGAUAUCACAUCGUACGUCUAAAACAGUUUCAACAUCAAAAGAUCGCAAAAUAGAAGAAAAUACGAAGCAACCUAAAAUAGAGUCCACGUUUAGAAUAGAAAUGAGUUCUCGAGAGAUGGAACAAAGGAAUCAAACAUCAUUACCUUAUAUAAUAAAUGCAACAAAUAAUACAGCAAAUAACAAAACAACGCCUAAAAUACUUUAUCAGCCUGAUGAGGAAGAUGACAUAGACGAAGAUGAUCCUGAUAAUGAUUUGUAUCUUUAAUAAUUCUCUAGUACGAAUAGGACUUGAAAACAAUUUAACACAAUUAAACCAAAUAACGUGUUUUCAAUAUGUUUAACAUACGGUGCUGAGGGAGAAAUAGAUUUUACAUAAUACUGAACUCUGCUCUCCAGCAAGCAACGACCAUAUCGCACAGCUUCCUCCCGACUGUCGACAACACCUACUUGAAGCAGCCAGUUGACCAA